UGUCGAAAAACUUUUCGGGAA
RNAcentral lists this non-coding RNA (21 nucleotides) under Caenorhabditis elegans. Lineage: Eukaryota; Metazoa; Nematoda; Chromadorea; Rhabditida; Rhabditidae. The record is from RNAcentral.